RNAcentral lists this ribosomal RNA (425 nucleotides) under uncultured bacterium. Its description in RNAcentral is "partial 16S ribosomal RNA". It matches the Rfam family "Bacterial small subunit ribosomal RNA", at positions 354 to 796 of the family's 1533-position model. The record is from RNAcentral.
GUGGGGAAUCUUAGACAAUGGGCGCAAGCCUGAUCUAGCCAUGCCGCGUGAGCGAUGAAGGCCUUAGGGUUGUAAAGCUCUUUCAGCUGGGAAGAUAAUGACGGUACCAGCAGAAGAAGCCCCGGCUAACUCCGUGCCAGCAGCCGCGGUAAUACGGAGGGGGCUAGCGUUGUUCGGAAUUACUGGGCGUAAAGCGCACGUAGGCGGAUCAGAAAGUCAGAGGUGAAAUCCCAGGGCUCAACCUUGGAACUGCCUUUGAAACUCCUGAUCUUGAGGUCGAGAGAGGUGAGUGGAAUUCCGAGUGUAGAGGUGAAAUUCGUAGAUAUUCGGAGGAACACCAGUGGCGAAGGCGGCCAACUGGACGGGAACUGACGCUGAGGUACGAAAGCGUGGGGAGCAAACAGGAUUAGAUACCCCUGUAGUCC